This 62-nucleotide transfer RNA is filed under the name Derotettix mendosensis. RNAcentral's name for it is "tRNA-Thr". The record is from RNAcentral. Lineage: Eukaryota; Metazoa; Arthropoda; Insecta; Hemiptera; Cicadidae.
GUUUUAAUAGUUUAAAAAAAAAUAUAGAUCUUGUAAAUCUAAGAUAUUUAAGAUUUAAAACA